RNAcentral lists this microRNA precursor (127 nucleotides) under Paramuricea clavata. Lineage: Eukaryota; Metazoa; Cnidaria; Anthozoa; Malacalcyonacea; Plexauridae. The record is from RNAcentral.
GUUUGUGGAAACACUACGUAGAUUUAUUUCUGCAAAGCUAUAUUAUUAGCACUGGUGAAGAUCCGGGCUUACGGAUCGAAAGCUUUGCAGAAAUAAAUUUACGUGGUGUUUCCACAAACAAUACUAU